AGGACCCUGCAAGGGGCAGGCUGGAGGCAGGCGUCUCAGGUGAGCGCACUGGGGGAAUGGACACCCCAUGCGAGAGAGGAGAGUAAGCGGAGCUCCAGGAGGGGAGAGCGAGAGAGGCAACAGCUGGAGAGAGCGCGCGGACUCCUACAAAACACCGGGAACUUCCACCUAACAUCUGCAGGCGACAGGAAGCAUUGAACACAACUUGAAAUCUUAUGUACCUGCCAUGACUCCUCUCCAAGAGGAGCAUCUCCUCAGAGGAGGGGAGUUUUCUCCUCUCACAGGAAAUCCACAGCGUGUUAGACACAGCCAGACAGACAGAAGGAGGGUAGAUAUCAACAAGUAAAAGGACAGAAGAUGACUUUGGCAGUUAUGCAACAAUUACAGAAAAAGAAUUUAAAAGAAACUAUUUUUUUCCACUUGAAGUCCAGAGUACACGUUAUUACAAACCAUCAUCUGGAGUUGGACUAUGACAUUCACUGCAGUCUUCAGAAAAUGGAAAGUCAGUCAUACAGGCUUUAUUCAAGGAGAGCCAUAUCAAAUAUUUUAAGAAAUGACUACAUCAGUGCUGGGCAAUGUGAUAGAUCUUAAUUUCUUCUACAGAUCUAGGACAAACUUAUUGUCAUUGUUUUAAAAUACCAGACUCAUAGGUGAAAAACAAAGAUUCUUGUCAUGCGCAUAUUAAAUAGAUCUAUAGUAAACUGUUGCUGUAUUUGUAUCUUCGGUUUCACUUCAACAUAACAAAAGUAUUCAGUGUCCUCGAGUUUGAGUUAGAAAUAUUAAAACUUGCACGCAGGAAAUGGUUAUUAGUAUCCUGAAACAGCCAUACUCGAUUCCAAACCAAGGAAGAGGUGAAAGUGCUGUGGUGUGAACAAA
Molecule: long non-coding RNA, 876 nt
Filed under: Apteryx rowi (Okarito brown kiwi)
Lineage: Eukaryota; Metazoa; Chordata; Aves; Apterygiformes; Apterygidae
Description: lncRNA (ENSARWG00000004475.1)
Source: RNAcentral